CCUGGCUCCCUGUAUGCC
RNAcentral lists this small nuclear RNA (18 nucleotides) under Arabidopsis thaliana (thale cress). Its description in RNAcentral is "snRNA_03047". Lineage: Eukaryota; Viridiplantae; Streptophyta; Magnoliopsida; Brassicales; Brassicaceae. The record is from RNAcentral.